This 69-nucleotide transfer RNA is filed under the name Marmota marmota marmota (Alpine marmot). It matches the Rfam family "tRNA". Rfam says of the family: Transfer RNA (tRNA) molecules are approximately 80 nucleotides in length. Their secondary structure includes four short double-helical elements and three loops (D, anti-codon, and T loops). Further hydrogen bonds mediate the characteristic L-shaped molecular structure. tRNAs have two regions of fundamental functional importance: the anti-codon, which is responsible for specific mRNA codon recognition, and the 3' end, to which the tRNAs corresponding amino acid is attached (by aminoacyl-tRNA synthetases). tRNAs cope with the degeneracy of the genetic code in two manners: having more than one tRNA (with a specific anti-codon) for a particular amino acid; and 'wobble' base-pairing, i.e. permitting non-standard base-pairing at the 3rd anti-codon position. RNAcentral also lists the same sequence under 3 other names. The record is from Rfam by way of RNAcentral. Lineage: Eukaryota; Metazoa; Chordata; Mammalia; Rodentia; Sciuridae.
GGGGUUGUGGCUCAGUGGUAGAGCGCUCGCCUAGCAUGUGCGAGGCCCUGGGUUUGAUCCUCAGCACCA